GUCUAUGGCCAUACCGCCCUGAACGUGCCCGAUCUCGUCUGAUCUCAGAAGCUAAAGCAGGGUCGGGCCUGGUUAGUACUUGGAUGGGAGAAGUUAUAGNNN
Molecule: ribosomal RNA, 102 nt
Filed under: Propithecus coquereli (Coquerel's sifaka)
Lineage: Eukaryota; Metazoa; Chordata; Mammalia; Primates; Indriidae
Source: RNAcentral